CCUACGGGUGGCAGCAGUGAGGAAUAUUGGGCAAUGGAGGCAACUCUGACCCAGCCACGUCGCGUGAGUGAAGAAGGUCUUCGGAUUGUAAAGCCCUUUUGGUUGUGACGAUGAUGACGGUAGCAUCUAAAGAAGCCCCGGCUAACUUCGUGCCAGCAGCCGCGGUAAUACUACGGGGGCAAGCGUUGUUCGGAAUUACUGGGCGGAAAGGGAGUGUAGGUGGUUUAGUAAGAUAGUGGUGAAAUCCCAGGGCUUAACUUUGGAAUUGCCAUUAUAACUAUUAGACUAGAAUUAGAGAGAGGAUAGUGGAAGACCCGGUGUAGAGGUGAAAUUCGUAGAUAGUGAGUAGAACACCAGUGGCGAAGGCGACUAUCUGGCUGUACAUUGACGCUGAGGCUCGAAAGCAUGGGGAUCAAACAGGAUUAGAUACCCUAGUAGUC
This 440-nucleotide ribosomal RNA is filed under the name uncultured bacterium. RNAcentral describes it as "partial 16S ribosomal RNA". It matches the Rfam family "Bacterial small subunit ribosomal RNA", at positions 338 to 795 of the family's 1533-position model. The record is from RNAcentral.